RNAcentral lists this long non-coding RNA (10933 nucleotides) under Solanum lycopersicum (tomato). Its description in RNAcentral is "long non-coding RNA (SLYC_LNC000452)". The record is from RNAcentral. Lineage: Eukaryota; Viridiplantae; Streptophyta; Magnoliopsida; Solanales; Solanaceae.
GGUGAACUCGUCACAAAAUCUUGAAUUAUCGUAGAAUUUGACUCAAGAAAUGGAUGUUUGAGAAGUUGUUUAGCUGUCCAUCUUUCAUUACCAUCUCUUCUCAAGCAUUUGUUUAAAAAAUCCCUUGCUUGUGAAGAGAGGAAUUUUGGUAUUUCAGGGGAUUGCUUUGAAAAUGCAAUUUUAUAAAGUAAUGAAACUGCGUUUGUCACAUUAUUCCAUGGCGAUCCACCGGUAGCCAUUUCAAUCAUUGUACAUCCCAAUCCCCAAAUAUCAGCUGCACACCCCUGUUCUUCCCCACGCGCCACCUCCGGUGCCAUGAACAUCGGCGUUCCUCCAAUCGCCUCUGCAUCCCCCUCCCUCUCCGCCGGAUCAAUCCACCUGGCACAUCCAAAAUCAGCAAGUUUGGCACCGGUUUCACCUAAUAAAAUGUUUUGCCCCUUUAUGUCACAGUGUGCUACGCCUCUUGAAUGUAAGUACUCUAAUCCUUGUACCAUUUGCUUCGUAUAAUACCCGAUCAACGGUUCGUUCAUCCGGCCACUCUGUUUUCGAAUUUCAUCGGAAAGUGUACCGUCCGGCAUAUACUCCAUCCUAAUAUUAAACAUGAGUUUAUCCUUCUCUUUGGUAACAUCAUAUCCCUUGUACCUAACUAUAUAAGGGGAGCUCAAUUGGGACAGAAUUUUCUGCUCCUUUUGCAAUAACUGUGACUUUGAUAGCUCCACUGACUUAACAGCAAAGACCUCACCUGACAAAAUUGAUUUGGCCGCGGAGACUGCAGCAGAGGAGCCGUGGCCUAUGGUAUGACCUCUGAUCCAAUCCAUUUAUGAAGAAGAAGAAGAUUGGUAGAAAGUGUAAGAAUAUAAGAAAAUGCUCUGUUUUUUGUUUGUUUAGAAGCUACAAUGGAGGCAUAUAUAUAUGGUGAAUUCCAAAUUAGUUGGGUAGACCUUAGGUGGCCUCUUUUUUCCCUUUUACUCCAUAUAGUUUGAAAAUUGAUUUACAACGUGGCCAAAUGGUAAUCAGUUAGGAAUUUUAUCAAGUGUCUCCAAUAUUCAAUAUAUAUUUCGUAUAAUAUUUCAUAUAUGAUAUAAUUUUUUCACUCUUAGACUAUGUGGAGGUCGAUCUUUAUGUGGCCAAUUGUGUUCUCACUACCUGCCAAAACAUUGAAGUUUAAACCGAUUUAAUCUUUCAAUUUAUAGUGAUUGAAACAAGUUGGAUGGUGGUAGAUUAAGUUAUUGUGUAACCACUUUUGAAGAUUAACCGAUAAAGGAGUAACUUUUCAUGAGAAUUUUUGGUUAAAGAACUAAUUAAAUUUUUUACCGAGUUCUUGAGAAUAUUCCAAUUUUUGGUAGGCAUUGAAUUUGUUACUACAUGCUUAUCCAUCAAAUUUACAAUAAAAAUUAAAUACCAAGAACAAGGACAAGCAUAAAGUCAAUUGAAUUUUUUUGGCAAAUUAUAGUAUUGCGAAGUCUUUAAGGACUUUAGGAAAAGAAACAAGAAGUGGAAGAUUACAAUCAAAGAUAUCUUUUCUAAAAUCAUGAGGAUAUGUAAUCUUUCAAGAUAGACAAAGAGUUAAAAUUUUAAAUAAUGGUUAAAUUGUCAAGUGUCAACUAAGUGAAAUAAAGACGAAAAAGGCAAUUGAGGAAACAAAACGAUAAAUACAUAUAUGUUUAUAUCGAAUCAAUGCAAUUUAUUAUCAUGAUUAAGUGAUUUUAAUAAAUCAAAGAAUUGCAUUUAUUAAUUAUUUUUAAUUUAUAGAUCAAAUUCCAUCUUAAUUUGGCUUUAUGAAAUUACAACUCUGUAUCAAGAUAACAAUUGUUAGCUUCACUAGCGUCAAAAUAGUUAUUAUCAGAGGAAGAGCCAACUUGGUGCUAGCUAGGGAUUCAUCCCAACACACCUUCAACAGAAUAUCAUAUAUUGUUAAAAUCAUUUUUUAAUUGUAUAUAUAGUAUAUGUCGAGUUCUUUUUAAUUAUAAUAUAUAUUUUAAUUUUUUCCCGUAUGGGAUCCUCUUGGUGAAAAUUCGAAUCGUCACUGCUCAUUACCGCCAAUAUCGUCAAAACUAUUUCUAAACGCAAGAUCAUUUCCUUCUAGAAGUAAUAUAUUGAGAUAUUGCUUUUUCGUGAUGCUAAAGUAAGAAUCAUAUAUAUACGUUGAGAGUUUAUUUAAACCAUUCCAAAACACAGUGACAAAAAGUUGGCCUUUUAGUAAGUGGUUGGUAGCUUCUACAUCAAGUGUGUGAAAAUUUAAUUCAAUGUGGCAAAGUGUGUUUUGUGAAAAGUGCAACAAUCAUACCUUCAAUUUUCCACAAGUUCCUUAUUAGAUACCAACUUCUUAACUAUUUAAAAUGUGUCUUCAAAUGGCUUGUGCACUUGGUGUGCAUACUAUUAAAGACACACAAUAGCAAUACCAAUGUAUUAUUUAUCUACAUAAUUAGAAUGGAAAUAAAAAAACUUCAACAAGUAGUCAUGCUAAUUUUUUUUAUCUUUAAAUAUAUAUCUGUUUAGUCAUAAAUUUUCGAUGAGAUUUAAACAUCUGUUCUAAAAAAAAUCUUAAGUUUAAAAAAUAAUUGACUUUAAAUCACGAAAGUUCUUUUUUAAACUUCAAAUACUCAAAUUUUCAAUCUCAAAAUCUAUAACUAAAUAUGAGGUAAUUAGAGAAUAAAUAGGUAGGGUUUAGUUUUUAAGUAAAAGCAAAAAAAACAAUAAAAAAAAUUGUAUCAUCCCUUGGCCUCAUGCCAUAUGACGCAGUACUAAUUUUAAAAAUUAGCAUCUAAAUCUAACAAUUAAAUAUUAUAGUAGAUUACAAAUCAACUGCCACUAAUUAAUUAUUUAAUUAAUGGUACUCCAUUUGCCAUGCCAUGCUGUCCCAUUUAUGGAGGCGUGGCUUGUGAGUUAGCUAAUGAUCAUGCGAGGUUGGUUUAAACCAUUUUUUAAAAAUUCCAAUUUAAAUAACAGUUGCAUGAAUAUUUGGGGAAAAAAAUAGGGAAGAAAAGUAUACGGUUUACGGGGCGGAGCUAGGGUGGUGUCAGUUUUCAGGAUAUUCACGUGUUUUUACAUUUUUUUUUUAAGUACUAUCAUAAAAAUAAAAAAUGGUAUAUACGUACCAUUCGUUAUAUUUAUCUAGAUUAUAUAUGUCCUUCAUUAGAUAUAUACACCGCUCCACCGGAAAUUUCCUCUGCCCCUACCGUACUCCAGCUUGGUAGUUUCCACCGCCUGUCCAGGGUUGAGCCCUGGGAUUUGACGGCGGAGUCAUUAUCUUAUCUACUAAUCUGAUAUUUAGUAAAUAUUGAAUUGACCGAUAAAAGUGUGCGACGUAUUCCUAUGGUAUAUGUCCAUUUUCCCAUUAAAAAAUGCACAACUUUGAGUUUUUAAAAUUGUUUAGAUAUGCAUUUUAAUUUAUUUAUUAUUGAAAUUUUACAAAUUAAUGUCCUUAAAUUCGAGAAGGUGGUCUCAACUAGUUUUUAGAACUUUAAAAAUUAGAUUUUUAAAAUCAAAUAAAAUUUCGUAAUCAAACUGAUAUGUAAAGAAUUAUUUUUUUUAAAAAAAAUGAUUUCAUAUCUAUGAUCAACCGCAAGUUAAAUUGAUUUUUUUGAGGAAAAGGAUAUUACUUUGUUAUUUAAAAAAGAUAUUACUUUGAUUCCGAACUGUUUAAAAUAACUGGAUGACAGAUGGGCUACUUAUGUUAAACCUCAUGAGUCACGUGUGACUUUAGCUUUCAGACAAAUUUAAGCUUCAACUUGUCGUGUGGUAUUGCAGGAAAUUACAGAUUCAUGUAUUUUAUUUAAGUAAGUUGUAAAACAAAUGAAAUUUACUAGCUGAGCUGCCUCAUUUUACACAGUUUUUGUGGCUUUUUUCCAAACUAAUAAGAAUUACGCUCUGAAUUCGAAUAUACUUCAUUUCUCUAAAAGCAAAAUAAUAAUAUUAUGUGUCUAUUUAUUUAAUUUUAUAUAAAUUAACGUGUAUACUCAUAUAAUGUCAGAUGGCUAUUGGCCGGAAACAAUAGAAAAUCUUUUUAAUAUUGCUGCAAGUAUCUGGGAUUUUUGGUUACUAUCGGAUCUGUACACUGAAUAUUACUGUAAGUAAUUAGAACAGAACAAAAAUUUACAGCAAGAUCAUUGCUCCAUGAGUUAUUCAUUAUUGCUGCUUCUAACUGUGAUCCACAUCUCGUCAUCAUUCCAUCUCCAAUUACAUUCUCCUGAAUUUGAACUCAAAUCUCUUAAUCUUUGCAGAGGAGAGCUAACUUCUUGUAAUAUUGUGGAAUACAUCGUUUCUGAAUUCCAUAUGUCUUGAUCAAGAAUGCUUGUUGGUGACUUCGUCACGAAAUUUUGAUUUGUUGACGUAGAAUUCAAGUUUAAUUCUUCAAGAAAUGGAUGUUUGAGGAGUUGUUUAGCUGUCCAUCUUUCUUUUGGAUCUCUUGUUAAGCAUUUGCUUAAGAAAUCCCUUGCUUGUAAGGACAGGAAUUUAGGUAUUUCAGGGGAUUGCUCUGAAAAUGCAAUUUUGUAAAGUAAUGAAGCUGCGUUUGUCACAUUAUUCCAUGGCGAUCCACCAGUAGCCAUUUCGAUAAUUGUACAUCCCAAUCCCCAAAUAUCUGCUGCACACCCCUGUUCUUCCCCACGCGCCACCUCCGGUGCCAUGAACAUCGGCGUUCCUCCAAUUGGCUCUGCCGGAUGAAUCCACCUGGCACAUCCAAAAUCAGCAAUUUUGGCACCGGAUUCACCUAAUAAAAUGUUUUGCCCCUUUAUGUCACAGUGUGCUAUGCCUCUUGAAUGUAAGUAGUCUAAUCCUUGUACCAUUUGCUUCGUAUAAUACCCGAUCAACCGUUCGUUCAUCCGGCCACUCUGUUUUCGAAUUUCAUCGGAAAGUGUACCGUCCGGCAUAUACUCCAUCCUAACAUUAAACAUGAGUUUAUCCUUCUCUUUGGUAACAUCAUACCCCAUGUACUUAACUACAUAAGGGGAGCUCAAUUGGGACAGAAUUUUCUGCUCCUUUUGCAAUAACUGUGACUUUGAUAGCUCCACUGACUUAACAGCAAAAACCUCACCGGACAAAAUUGAUUUAGCCGCGGAGACAGCAGCAGAGGAGCCGCGGCCUAUGGUAUGACCUCUGAUCCAAUCCAUUUAGGAAGAAAAGAAGAAAAAUGUAACAAGUUUUGGAAGUGUUCUUUUUUUAGUUUCUUUCGGAGCAGCAGCUAAGGAAUAUGUAUAGAGAGUUUUACGCAAAUUCAAAUUUAAUCGGAUAAAUAAAAAGAAAUGGAGUAGUAGAUAUAAUAAGGUGGAAUUUCUAGGUGGCCACUUUACUCCAUAGUGUUUGGGAAUUGAUUUACAACGUGGCUAAAUGGUUAUGGCCAUGCGGCAGAUUGAGUAGGCUUAAGAACUACACUUACUUGCCCAAUUGGAUUUUUUUCUCCACGUGGCAAUACAUUGCAUUUCAAACUUUAAAAUAAUACAUAUCAAUUUGAUAAGUUGGAUUGGGUUGUUUUAUAGGUGAUAGUUAAUGAAUAUCUUUUCGAGAGAGUUGGUUGAAGAACCAACAAAAACUUUCUACGGACUUCUUCACAAUAUUCCACUUUUUGAUAGGUUUCAAUUCAUUGACAUUUGUUGCAUGUCUAGUCCCACCAAAAUUUUAUAAUAAUAUUCAAUUCACAAAACUUGACAAGCAUGAAGUCAAACGAAAAAAUUUGGCAAAUUAUAAAAUUGGCAAGUCUCUUAGACGUUAGGGUAAAAAACAAGAAGUAGAAUAUUAUAUUGAUUAUAAUUUUCAUAAAUUUCAUAGUAAAAAGUUAAUUACAUUAAAUUUUUAGCAUUUUUUAAAUUAUAAUAAUUCCUUAAAAUAUAUGUAUUUUAAAUAUAUCACACUGAACUUUCAAAUAUAUUAAUGGACAUAUAUAUAGGAGAUGUAUCCGAGAGAAAAUGAAUGUAUCAAAGAGAGGAUAUAACAUUCACACACAUUUGUAGGAGAGGAAUAUAUAGGGAGAAAGUACCGGAUAGAGAAGGGAGGGAUAUGAUGUAUCCGAGAGAGAAAGAAUGCAUCAAAGAGGGGAGAGCUUUAACGUAUCCGAAAGAGAAGAAAUGUAACAGAGAAGGUAAGAAUAUGGUGUAUUCGAGAGGGAGAUAUGAAUGUAUCAACAAGAAGCAAGUGAUGUAUUUAAAAGGGAAUUUUAAAACUUUUGUUAAAAGAUAAAUUUUUUAGAAAAAUUAUGAUAAAUAUAAGAUGUGUAUUUAAAUAAUUUUUUCUUAUAUGAACUAUAUGCGCCAAAGUUUACUAUCAAAGAGUUGUCUUUUGUAAUCUUUAAGAAUAUUUAAUGUUUGAAAAACAAAUAGAGAUGAAAAAACAAAGGGUUAAAUUUUUGUUCUGUUUCGAAAAGCAUAUUAUAUUUUUUUUCAAAAAUCAAAUUUAAUUAAUAUUCGUAAGAUAUUGUUUUUUCCAUCAUGCUAAAGGAAGAAUCAUAAAUCAUAUACACGUUGAGAAGCUUUAAUCCAUUAAAAUAACAGUGACAAAAAGUUAGCUUCCCAAUCAAGUGUAUGAAAAUCUUUCAAUGUGGCAAAAUGCGUUUUUCCCAAUCAUACCUUCAAUUUUCCACAAGUUUCCUUUGAUGCUGACUUCUCAACUAUUACUGGUUAACUUAUAUUUAAAAUAAUGUGCGUAUAUUAUAAACGGCACACAAUUUCAACGUAUCUAUACAUAAUAAUAAUAAUAAUAAUCAUAAUAAUAAUAAUAAUAAUAGUAAUUAUAAUAAUAAUAAUCCCUUGACUUGAAAUACUCCACAAAAUGUCACGCGUAUAUGGUGUGUAUAGGCAGUAGCAGUUUCAGUACAUAUAUACAUAAAUAAUAGUCUUUGACUUAUAUACUUGAUAUGUAAUUUUUUUUUGGUAUGUAUAUAAUAUGAUUUCCCGACGAAAGUUUUCAAAGGUCAAUUGAUCGCCUUUCAUGGUUUUAGUGAUUGUAUUUCGGAACAGAGGCAAAGUUAGGUGGAGUUUGUGGAUUUAAAAAAACUUAAUAGAUUUUUUCGUAGAUUUUGUAUUUAUACUAGAAAAUAAUUAUAUAUAUAUAUAUAUAUAUAUAUAUAUAUAUAUAUAUAUAUAUAUAUAUAUAUAUAUUAAUUUGUGAACCCCUAACAAAAUUAAUUGCCGUUCUAAAAGAAUAUAGAACUCUCAAAAUCUUUAUUAUGGUUUCGCCUCUGCUUCGGAGAGUACAUGUAUUAACAAAGUCGCACUAAUUGAUAUAUUAUUAAGUAAAAUUGAGUUGCAAAAUGUAUUAACUAGAAGAUAUAAUAGUGAUUUGACUUCAACGAGAGGUUAAAAGAACAAAUAUGGAAUAAAUGUGUGAAAGAAGUUGCAACAAAUUUCACCAAAUAAAUGUAAAUGAAUUUGUCUCUUUGAAUAAGUAACAUUUAGGUGGGCUAGUAGAAAACUAAAAGCCAAAAUCAAUUUUUUUUAAAAAAAUAUCAUUUAAAUCUACCAAAUCAAGCAGAUAUUAUAAUAUAUCUUAUUUUCUUCAAAUUUAAUUUAAUUGUUUUACUUUCAUUUUUAAUCUGUUUUUAAGAAGAACAUAUUUUUUUUACAACUCUUUAUCUUUAGUUUCCAUGUGUUAAUUUCAACAUCAGAAAAUAUGUUGACACAUUUUAUAAUUUCAUUAUCAUUAUAAGCUUGUGUCAAAUAAAACACGAAAUAAUUCAACAACCAUUUAUUGACGUACCAUGCUUUCCCAUUAAGGCGUGGUUUGUGAGUUAGCUAAUGAUUAUGUGAUAGUUAAGCUCAAGUCACGUGGCUCUUAACUUCAAUACAAAUUUAAGCACUUUAAUUUGAAUUGAUUAGUCUCCUUAAUUAUUUUCUUGAUGAAAGAAGUUGGUUGAAAAAGAAAUCAUUCAUUGAAUAACAGGUAUUUAACAUAUGUUGACAUAAUUAACAGUCCAAUUUUUGGAUCCUAAGUGUGCGAUGUUAUCAAUAUCUAGCAUAUAGUCUCGUGACACAUAGCGCAGUCUUUUUUUAUUUGGCUUUAUUGUGAUAAAAAUAGUUUUUAUCGGUAAUAAAUAUUCGUAUUAAUAAAGAAUUUUAAAAUCUUAUUGACAUUAAUUAAUUGUCAUUAAAUCUAAUAUUGAUACGUAUUUUAGGAUAAUUUACAAAAAGUGUUACCCUCAGCCACAAAAAAAAAAACAUAUCAGGGAGAUUAAGUCAUUAUUAAUUAAUUGAUACUAAUUCUUUUUGGUAUAGUCUUGUUGAUGCCACGAUUAUCCUACUUUUACGGUUCUAAAAUUUUAUACUUCACCCGUUGAAAAAUCUUAAUAACUUGAAUGAUUGGCCUCAAUUUCCAAUCUUAUAAUCUCUUUUGCCAUUUUUUUUCUUUCCCAACUCUAAAAAUACCUCGUCGGUAUGUUCUUACUUGUCUAGAUUUGAUAUCACUACAACAAAAAUAAUUUUUAAUGGUAAUAAAUAUUGACAUUAAUAAAGAGUGCUAAAGUCUUUAUCGGCAUUAGUUAAGUGUCUUUAGAACCAAUGUCGCUAAUAUUAUAGUAACAUAUACAAAGAGUGUCAAUUGCCGCUAAGAAUACAUAUCUUGACAAUUAAGAUUUAAUUGUCGCUAAUAAUCAUUUCUGAUAUAGUGUAUAUUUCUUAAAAUAAUAAAUAAAUUGACAAUUUUACUAAUAUAUCAUUUUUUAUGCCGUAAUAUAUUUAAUAUUUAAAUAUAUACAUUAGAAAAUAACUAUACCUAAUAAUAAGGGCAAAUUAGAAAUGCUUAGAGAAUCUUUUGACAGUCGGAUCAUUUUUUCUUAAAUAAAUAAACCUACAAAAUCCUUCAUCCACCCCACCCCCAAAGAAGCAAAGGGGUCAUGUUGAUAAAUUAUGUCUUGUUUUAGAUUAUUUAAGUAAGAUAUAAUUUCAACUUUCAAUCUUUUGGAAACCGUAUGAGCCUAAACCAAGUUGACAACACUUGUCACUUAGUAGUAAGCAUGUCUAAACGUUUGUACGUAGAUGGAAAAUUAGGGAACAAAAUAAUUGAGAUGAGUUGGUUAGCCUACCAAUCGAAAAUAAUAGUAUUAAUAAUUAUAUGUAUAUAUAAGAUCACAAAAGAUUCACAUUCUUAUGCUUUGUGUUAAAAAUAAGAUUAGUUAAUGUAUAACCAGAUUAACAAGGGUAUGAAGUGAAAUGAGCUAAAAUACGAGUUAUAAUUCAGUUUUCAAUUGGUCUGAAUCAUCCUAGUACAGGAUCAUGUUAAACUUUUACUUUAUAUUGUUUUAGUUUUAUCAGAUGUGCGCAAAAGAACAUAUCAUUUAUAGUCCAAUUUAUAAUUAUUUUAUUUGCUCUUUCAAAAAAUAAUCUUACGACCUAGCUAAUAAUUUAUAAACGAAUCGUACCAAUUUGAUAAUUAAAAGAAAUGAUUUUUUUUAAAAAAUAAUUUAAGAAAGGAAACAUAGAGUAUAGCACAUAUCUUAUUGGAUUAUUUAGAUUCAUGUAUAGUGGCAGUCGAACCAUAUUUGCUUUGUUGUUAGCCGACAAAUUAAUGUACAAUGUACAUGUAAUGCACUAAUAAAAAAUUAAAAACUUGUUAGUGGAUGAUUUAAGAUCGUUCCUUUUUCUAUUACUACCUAGAUAGGUUUGAAACUCUCUCAUAUUUUACAAUACUAGAUACACGAUUCCGUACCAGCAUGGAGCCUAAUAUUCAUUUGUGUCAUAUUAUUAAUUAUUUUUUAUUUUAAAUUAUAAAUAAAAAAUUAAUUUUACUAAUUUAAUUGUUAAAAAGUUUUGUGAAAAUUUUACAAAUAAAUAUGACUUUUUAAUAAUAAUAAAUAUAUACAUAUUGAAUAUUAAGAAAGUAUGAAAAAUAUCUUUAAAUUAUGUGAAAUUUAAAAUAUAUGUUUGUUAAUUAUAUUUGAUCUAAUUAUGGCUCUACUGUUAAUUUAAUUUAAUAGUGGUAAUUUGCCUUUAUUCAUACCAAACCUAAUAUAUAGCAUAACUUAGAAGAAUAAUUAAAAUAUUUUUUAGAAUUAAACUUUUUUUUUAUGAAAUAUCUUAUGAAUCGCACUAAAUAAGUCUUAUACAGUAGGAAAAUAUUUUUUUUCAAAAUUUGAAAAAGUGUAAAGUGGAUUAAAAAAUGACCAAGAGAUGUCCACUACAAAUCAUGUCCACAUAUCAUUUUGUUGCAUCUUUUUUUGUUGGCCUUUUUAUCUUAGUUCUUAUCUCUCCUUUUUCUUUUCGAUGUGUUUACAUUCACUAAACGACUAAAUUUCAAAGUUUAUUUCAAUCUAUUUUACUUGUAGUAGUCACUCUCCUCACGUGUUGGUUAUCCUCAUUUUUCAAUUGGAGUAUUCUUUCUGCUAAUACAAACUUUAGCAAACUGACAAAUCGAUCAAAAUUAUAAUUUCUUGACAGUUGGCAAGAGAUAAUAUAUACUCUUUUUUUUUAUUUUAUCUGUACAGUGUUUGUAUAGUACAAAAUUUACAGCAAGUUUUCACGGUUCAUGACUUAAUUCUAACUGUCAUCCAUCUCUCAUCAUCAGUCCAUCUACAAUUCAAUUCACCUGAAUCCGAAAUUAAUUCUCUUACCCUUUGCACAGGACAGAUAACUGUUUCUAAUAUCGUUGUUUCUGAAUUCCAUAUGUCUUGAUCUAAAAUGCUUGUUGGUGAACUCGUCACAAAAUUUUGAAUUAUCGUAGAAUUUGAUUCAAGAAAUGGAUGCUUGAGGAGUUGUUUAGCUGUCCAUCUUUCUUCACAAUCUCUUCUCAAGCAUUUGUUUAAAAAAUCCCUUGCUUGUGAAGAGAGGAAUUUUGGAAUUUCAGGGGAUUGCUCUGAAAAUGCAAUUUUGUAAAGUAAUGAAGCUGCGUUUGUCACAUUAUUCCAUGGCGAUCCACCAGUAGCCAUUUCAAUCAUUGUACAUCCCACUCCCCAAAUAUCAGCUGCAAACCCCUGUUCUUCCCCACGCGCCACCUCUGGUGCCAUGAACAU